This 350-nucleotide transfer-messenger RNA is filed under the name Ruminiclostridium sp. It matches the Rfam family "transfer-messenger RNA". Rfam says of the family: Bacterial tmRNA, also known as 10Sa RNA or SsrA, is named for its dual tRNA and mRNA-like properties. The record is from RNAcentral. Lineage: Bacteria; Bacillati; Bacillota; Clostridia; Eubacteriales; Oscillospiraceae.
GGGGGCGUAAAGGUUUCGACGGGGGUCAUGAAUCGGGUUAAGCAUGCGGAGUUCUCCUAAACUCCUUAAUAAUGGGUAAUUUAAAUUUAAACGCAGAUUCUGAAGAAUAUGCAUUAGCUGCCUGAGUGCAGCUCGUCCUGCCGAUGAGUGCUGCGGCUUCGGUUUGGGCGUGACACAGCAGCCAACGUUCCGGAUGAGCGCUCUGUAGUCCGUCACGUUUUUUAAAGAGCUGCCAAAGGUCUUUCCUGUCGAUCGGACAGACCUGCGGGAGAUCUGAAGAUCGACUAAGCAUGUAGAAAGAUCCGUGGAUCGGCUUUCGGACGGGGGUCCGACUCCCCCCGCCUCCACCA